This 1247-nucleotide long non-coding RNA is filed under the name Androctonus crassicauda. Lineage: Eukaryota; Metazoa; Arthropoda; Arachnida; Scorpiones; Buthidae. The record is from RNAcentral.
CUUCAGUUCUCUGUAAUGAAGGAUUUAGAGAAUCCAUUCCUGGACUAAGAGUCUUUGCUUGCCUUAGUCCAGGAAUGAAUCUCCAAUGAGACAGAUGCUAAGCUACCAAUUAGUCCCUGAUAACCCUGUCCAAAUGCAUUAGAUCUGAUAUCUAGGGCCAGUUCAGAUCCAUUAAAGAGAUGAAAAGCCUCUUCCUUGGCCAGCUCAUCUGCAAUUGUAUUGUUUUCAGUCCUUUUAUAUUCUGUCCCCAAACAGGUUGAAUGAACCCUGUUCCUGGUAGCAAGUUCCACAAUGAGAUGAUGGCAUUUUCAUAUAAAUUAUGAAAUAAACAGUAGCUAUCAAGUGCUUUUAAUACAGCUUGUGUUAAAAACACAAUAGAAUAUAAAUAUUAACAUAUUUCUAUCAAGACUGGUUUUAGUACAUGCAGAAAUUGCAUAGAUUUCUGCAUGAAAGACAGAGAAAACUCUCCAAGGGAAUAAGAAUAAGACAUCCUCAUUCCUUCACAAUAAAUUCUUACCUUAUGUCAUUAUAGAUUUUGCAAUUAUCUGUAUAUCAGAUCAGUCCAUCUUUGAUACUCUCCUAAAAAUAACAGAUAACGAUCUGAAAAAGUUGAAUCUGGCUACAUCUUGGUCUGUUAUUUUUAGGAGAGUCAGCAAGUCAUUAUAGAUUUUGCAAUUAUCUGUAUAUCAGAUCAGUCCAUCUUUGAUACUCUCCUAAAAAUAACAGAUAACGAUCUGAAAAAGUUGAAUCUGGGUACAUCUUGGUCUGUAACCAUUUUAAAAAUGUGACUGUAUGUCUUUCCCAUUCAAAAAAUAAAUGCUCCACUUUGUGAAUCCAAGAAAUUGGACCUACAAUGUGGAGCACUUUCACAACAAUGAAGCCUAUAAUAGCUUUCCUGGACAUUAGUCUCAACAAAUAUAUGUAAGAGGGAAAUGUCCAAAAGGAUUUCAAGAGCAACAGUAGGAGCAAUCCUCAAUAACUCCUGUAAUGCUCAGCAAGCCAUCCCUGAGCAUCACAGGAACUCCCCAAGUUCAAUCCUGCAUAUUUUUAAUAGAACUUUCACUCCAAAUGAUUUGCAACAUAGAAAAUAAUGGGAAAUUUUGUCUUACAAAUGAAUAUUUAUUUCAUCAAUUUGAAUAUAAGGAGAUUCCUACUUUUUAUUGUUACGUCCAGAAAUUUCUGCUAUCUUUCCCAUAAUUUUAUAUUGGGUUUUUUCCUCUAUGAUGCAUAACUUCUCUAAAAUCUAG